This 393-nucleotide ribosomal RNA is filed under the name uncultured bacterium. RNAcentral's name for it is "bacterial SSU rRNA". It matches the Rfam family "Bacterial small subunit ribosomal RNA", at positions 29 to 416 of the family's 1533-position model. The record is from RNAcentral.
AUUGAACGCUGGCGGCAUGCCUUACACAUGCAAGUCGAGCGCGAAAGGGGGCAACCCCGAGUAGAGCGGCGGACGGGUGAGUAACACAUCGGAACGUGCCCAGUAGUGGGGGACAACCUCGAGAAAUCGAGGCUAAUACCGCAUACGACCCACGGGUGAAAGCGGGGGACCCAAAGGAAACUGAGGGCCUCGCGCUAUUGGAGCGGCCGAUGUCCGAUUAGCUAGUUGGCGGGGUAAGAGCCCACCAAGGCGACGAUCGGUAGCUGGUCUGAGAGGACGACCAGCCACACUGGGACUGAGACACGGCCCAGACUCCUACGGGAGGCAGCAGUGGGGAAUUUUGGACAAUGGGGGCAACCCUGAUCCAGCCAUGCCGCGUGCGGGAAGAAGCCU